UGGUCCAUAGCUCAGUUGGUAGAGCGGCUGGCUGUUAACCAGCGUGUCGUAGGUUCAAGUCCUACUGGAUCAG
Molecule: transfer RNA, 73 nt
Filed under: Ruminococcus sp. AM36-2AA
Lineage: Bacteria; Bacillati; Bacillota; Clostridia; Eubacteriales; Oscillospiraceae
Also listed under: 1 other name
Description: tRNA-Asn
Rfam family: tRNA
About the family: Transfer RNA (tRNA) molecules are approximately 80 nucleotides in length. Their secondary structure includes four short double-helical elements and three loops (D, anti-codon, and T loops). Further hydrogen bonds mediate the characteristic L-shaped molecular structure. tRNAs have two regions of fundamental functional importance: the anti-codon, which is responsible for specific mRNA codon recognition, and the 3' end, to which the tRNAs corresponding amino acid is attached (by aminoacyl-tRNA synthetases). tRNAs cope with the degeneracy of the genetic code in two manners: having more than one tRNA (with a specific anti-codon) for a particular amino acid; and 'wobble' base-pairing, i.e. permitting non-standard base-pairing at the 3rd anti-codon position.
Source: RNAcentral